UACGUAGGAGGCGAGCGUUGUCCGGAGUUACUGGGCGUAAAGCGCACGCAGGCGGUCUAAUUAGUCUGCAGGGACAGGGCACAGCUUAACUGUGUCAGGCCUGUGGAAACUGUUGGACUUGAGGGCUUCAGAGGGAUGGGGAAUUCCGGGUGGAGUGGUGAAAUGCGUAGAGAUCCGGAAGAACACCAGUGGCGAAGGCGGCUCACUGGCCCGGUACUGACGCUGAGGUGCGAAAGCUAGGGGAGCAAACGGG
This 253-nucleotide ribosomal RNA is filed under the name uncultured bacterium. RNAcentral describes it as "partial 16S ribosomal RNA". It matches the Rfam family "Bacterial small subunit ribosomal RNA", at positions 524 to 776 of the family's 1533-position model. The record is from RNAcentral.